Molecule: long non-coding RNA, 7412 nt
Filed under: Phaseolus vulgaris (common bean)
Lineage: Eukaryota; Viridiplantae; Streptophyta; Magnoliopsida; Fabales; Fabaceae
Description: long non-coding RNA (PVUL_LNC004457)
Source: RNAcentral
UUCAUAGUGCCGUUGAAGGAAAUCUCGGAAGCAUGGGUGAAGUGGAGACAGUUUCCAAGUUGAAAAUCAAACGUUGCCCUUUCAACCUUGGAUCGUGGCCGCACGAAUCGGAAGUUGGGCGCCUCCGCACUGCUGGAUUUUUGAACGUUGUAGAUCGUUACGAGAGGAGUGGGAGGUUGACUCCUUCCUUCACGCUGGUCUUCCCUCUUCUGCGGCGACAACCUUGAACCCACUAGGGUUUGAAGAGGCGGCACCCUUGGGGGUUCUCCAUCUAUAAAUACCGCUUUCCCCUCUUCAGAAAACACAUCUCUCACCCAUUCUCUUCAUCUCCUUCACCCACCGUGAAUCACUUCUUCUUCCUCCCACCUUUUGAUUUUUCUCUUUCUUCAUUUAUUAUAAUAUUUUAUUCAUUUUUAUGAGAUAUUGGGUUCAUACUCCUUUUAAAGAGUUGCUUGCUAGUUCUGAUCCUCGGAAAUUACCGGAAAUUUCCUGUUGUAUCCUGGGGAACUGGCGGAAUACACCGCGGAUAAGUCUUUACGGACAAUGAUUACUCACUCCUCGGGAAAUUACUUUUUGUUCGUUUUAAAGCCCUUUUAACUACAAUCGUAAGGACUUAUGGCUGAAAAUCCGAACAACAACUGUUGGGUUUAAUAGUGUCAAAGUUCAAGAGGGGGGUGAAUUGACCUUUUAAAACUUUCUCGCAGAAACAGUGUUUAACACAGUUUACAGAAAAUAAAUCGAUUUAUGUGAAAAUGAACAGAUUUAUUUCAGCACUGUUUUUGUUUGAAAAGCGUUUAUACAGCAAGGUUAAUCACAAGAUUAUGCAGAUAGAUUUUCCAGAUGCACACACACUGAUAUUAGAACGAAAACCAGUGAAACACACAACAACAAACUUCAAUUUCAAGCAAGUGAUUAAGGUUGGAUUGAUAGCAUGCCAAUUAAUUGAGUAACCUUUACAAACAACCUGUUCCAGUGAAUUUUAACAAAUUAUAAGUGUUCUUCUUGAAACACACAGUUUUCCAGAAAUUAAGAACAGUGAAUCACAGAACAGCAAGCUUCAAUUUUAAGCAAUUGUUUAAGGUUCAAUUACUAGCUUUGACAAUUUCUUGAGCAACCUAUCACAAUCAAUCUGUUCCAGUAGCUUUUAACAAAUUUUAUAUGUUCUUAUCUGACCCAAACAACUUUUCCAGAAAUUAAGAACAGGAUGACACGAGCCCAGAAAAAACAGAUUUAUUAAUGAAUGAACAGAUUUAUUUCUUUGCUGUUUUAUCAAUUAUGCAGAAACUUAAUUGCAGAGAUUGAGAGAGAAUGAACACAAGGCAGUUAUACUGGUUCACUCAACUGAGCUACAUCCAGUUUUCACCUAAAACCAAGGUGAAAUUCACUAAAUCACAACACAAACAACCACAAUUCCCACUGUUCUUGAAACCUACAAGAACUUAGGUACUCUUGCUGAAAAAAACCUAUUUCAACUCACACACACUUCUUCAAGAAAACCUAUCAAGAAGAGUGUUCAACCAAACUAUUACAAGAAAUGAAAAGUGAAACGACUACAUCUGAUUGAGGAUACAAAGAUCUGCCUUAAAUCAGUAGGCAAGAUUGCUAGAACAGUAGCAGCACCUCACACCNNNNNNNNNNNNNNNNNNNNNNNNNNNNNNNNNNNNNNNNNNNNNNNNNNNNNNNNNNNNNNNNNNNNNNNNNNNNNNNNNNNNNNNNNNNNNNNNNNNNUUGGAACCAAACCAAGAACAAGCACUUUGUGAUUUUUCGAAAUCUUUGAAGAACAAAUGCUAAUCCUUUGUAAACUCUUAAUUCUCUGCUGUCAAACUUGUUUUUUACAAAUGUAUGAACGAUAUUUAAACUCAGAAACAAGUUUUCAUUUUAUAGAAAACCAACUUAUAACAGAAUUUUCAAAAACAGUUAAAGCUGUUAUAAAAUGAACAGAUUGAAAAUAAAAUGAACAGAUUUAUUUUCAAAAGCAGUUAGAGAAUUUGUUAAGUGAGGAGACUUAGUCAACCAUUCUGGUGCAGAGAUAAAACUGAAAAACGUUUAAGCUAGAUAUGGCACCAGAGACAAAAAGAAUCUAUUCAUUUACAUAUGAACAGAUUUAUUUUUCAAAACGAAAAUAGAAAAGCUUAACUUAUUUGAAACACAGUCGUUUUGAAAGAUAGAAGACUUAGUCAGAAUACAUGAUGCACAAAAUCUAAUUUUCACAAGACUUAGCCAAGGCACCAGUGUAAAAAUGAAUCUGUUUAUUUAGAAAAAAAACAGAUUUAUUUUUAUGCAGUGAACGUGUUUUUUGUAAAACAUGUGAAAAACGGUUGAAGAAAACUUAUGCUUGUUCUUAUCACAUGGCCAGUGGUUAUGAGGUGAGUUACUCAGCAAAAAGCCCACUCUUAGACAACCUCUAAGCACUACCUAAGACAUACUUAAAGCAAAGCAAAAUACACAUGAAAUGUACAUAGAAGUCUUCAUCAAACACAAUCUUGAAGGGGCAGCAACCAUCUUCAACAACGACGACAACACUGCUCCGGAAACAUCAAAUGUUGUUUCCGCAACGCAAACCAUUUUUGUGAAACCUUUUCCGGACGUCUCCAAAAUUGAAGUCUUCACCGGUCAGAACUUCCGACGUUGGCAAGAACGCGUGUCCACCCUAUUGGACAUGUACGGAGUUGUUCAUGCACUUACAACUGCCAAACCCGACUCAACCACGGUUGCGAAACAAGUUGACGACUGGAUCCAUGCGAAUAAGGUAUGCCGUCACACUUUACUCAGUGUGUUAUCUAACGAUCUGUUCGAUGUUUNNNNNNNNNNNNNNNNNNNNNNNNNNNNNNNNNNNNNNNNNNNNNNNNNNNNNNNNNNNNNNNNNNNNNNNNNNNNNNNNNNNNNNNNNNNNNNNNNNNNNNNCUGGGAGAUGAUCGAAGGCAAAGACAUCAAAAUCCAAAUAAACGACUAUCACAAGCUGAUUGAAGAUAUCAAAACUGAAAGCAUAAAAUUGCCAGAUGAAUUCAUGUCCGAACUCUUGAUCGAAAAGCUUCCGCAGUCUUGGACGGAUUACAAACAACAACUGAAGCACAGACAGAAACAGAUGUCUCUAUCAGAUUUGAUCACCUACAUCAUCAUUGAAGACACAAACAGGAAGGAGUGCGUUGCUGCAAAGGCCAAAGCUUUGUUUGCCAAAGCAAACGUGAUAGAAGACAAACCAGCUCCAAAAAAGGUACGAGAAAAAAUUUGAUCACAAAAAGAAACCUAAUAACAAAUUCUCUCGUCCCAGUGGAACUAACCCCACUUUNNNNNNNNNNNNNNNNNNNNNNNNNNNNNNNNNNNNNNNNNNNNNNNNNNNNNNNNNNNNNNNNNNNNNNNNNNNNNNNNNNNNNNNNNNNNNNNNNNNNAGGUAAUUGCUUUGUUUGUGGAAAGCCAGGCCAUCAUGCACCUCAGUGCAGAUAUAGGGCUAAAAACGACUAUCCUCCUAAGGCAAAUCUAGCCGAAGGGGAAUAUACUAUUGUGGCAGUCGUUUCACAAGUAAACCUUGUGACAAAUGUGAGCAAAUGGGUGGUAGACUCUGGGGCUACCAGACACAUCUGUGCAAACAUAAAUGUGUUCACCUCCUACACAAGUGUGGGGGAUGGAGAAGAACAAGUAUAUAUCGGUGACUCCAGGACAACUCCUGUCCUAGGAAAAGGAAAAGUUAUUCUGAAGCUCACAUCUGGUAAAACUCUAGCUUUGAAUUAUGUGCUACAUGUGCCAUCAAUUAGAGUUAAUUUGGUCUCUGUGGCAUUACUAAGCAAAGUUGGGGUUAAAGUGUCAUUUGAAUCUGACAAGAUUGUUAUGACAAAAAACAAUGUUUUUGUGGGAAAGGGAUAUUGUGAUCAAGGCCUUUUUGUAUUAAACAUUUCUGAAAUUAUGAAUGAAUCUAUAUCUUCUGCUUAUAUUGUUGACUCGUAUGAUAUAUGGCAUGCUAGAUUAGGACAUGUGAAUUCUUCGUAUGUUAUAAAAUUGCAAUGACUAGGAUUAAUCAACAUGCAUGACAAACAGAGUAGUAAAUGUGAUGUAUGCGUAGAAUCUAAAAUAACGAAGAAAACAUGUCACUUUGUAGAACGUCAAACUGAAAUUCUUGGUUUAAUUCAUACCGACCUUGCUGAUUUAAAACAAACCAUGUCUAGAGGUGGUAAAAAUUAUUUUGUAACCUUUAUAGAUGAUUUUUCUAGAUACACCAAAGUGUAUUUAAUUAAACAUAAGGAUGAAGCUUUCGACAUGUUUUUAACUUAUAAAGCGAAAGUAGAAAAUCAACUUAAUAAGAAAAUUAAGAGAAUUACAUCAGAUAGAGGUGGUGAAUAUGUUUUAUUUAAUGACUAUUGUGUAAAAGAAGGUAUUAUUCAUGAAGUAACCCCACCAUAUUCACCUGAGUCUAAUGGAGUAGCUGAAAGGAAAAAUAGGACUCUUAAAGAAAUGAUGAAUGCCAUGCUUAUUAGUUCUAAUGCUCCUGAUAAUUUAUGGGGUGAAUCUCUGCUUACUGCGUGUUUUUUACAAAAUAGGAUACCACAUAGGAAAACUGGUAAAACACCCUAUGAGUUGUGGAAAGGUUAUCAACCUAAUCUGAAAUACCUAAGAGUGUGGGGGAGUUUAGCUAAAGUGAUGUUACCUGAUCCUAAGAAAAGGAAAAUAGGCUCUAAAACAUCUAAUUGUAUGUUCUUAGGAUAUGCAGAACAUAGUGCUGCCUAUAGGUUUCUAGUUCUUAAUAGUGAUAUAAUUGAACACAACACUAUAGUAGAGACAAAAAACGCUGAGUUCUUUGAACACAUCUUUCCGCUAAAGAGUAGUGGUACAUCUGAACAACCUAUAGAUAGUGUUAGUGAUACCUUGAGUGAGGAUGUUAGAAGAAGUAAAAGACAGAGAAAGGAAACAUCUUUUGGAGAUGACUUUUAUACUUAUCUAGUUGAGAAUGAUCCAAUAAGUUUUGUAGAAGCUACUAGUGCUCAUGAUGCUAAACAUUGGGAUAAGGCCAUUAAAACUGAGCUUGAAUCAAUUAAGAAAAAUAAUACGUGGACCUUAGUAGAUCUCCCUAAAGGAGCAAAACUCAUUGGUUGUAAGUGGAUCUUUAAGAAGAAGUACCAUCCUGAUGGAUCCAUAGAGAAAUAUAAGGCAAGAUUAGUAGCUAAAGGGUUUACCCAAAAACAUAACAUAGAUUACUUUGAUACUUUUGCACCUGUUACUAGGAUUUCCUCUAUCCGUGUAUUGCUAGCCUUAGCAUCUAUCCAUAAGUUAGUAAUUCACCAAAUGGAUGUUAAAACAACCUUUUUGAAUGGUGAAUUAGAAGAGGAAAUUUAUAUGACUCAACCUGAAGGAUGUGUAGUUCCAGGUCAAAAGGAAAAAGUAUGCAAACUUUUAAAAUCUUUGUAUGGUUUGAAACAAGCACCAAAACAAUGGCAUGAAAAACUUGAUAAUGUUUUACUUUGUGAAGGUUUUUCUACCAAUGAUGCUGAUAAAUGUGUGUACUCUAGAUCUGAAAAUGGUGAAUAUGUCAUUAUAUGUUUGUAUGUGGAUGACAUGCUAAUUUUUGGUACAUGCAAUGAUAUAGUUUUUCAAACAAAAUUGUUUCUUGGAUCUAAGUUUGAGAUGAAAGACAUGGGUGAAGCAAGUGUGAUUCUAGGAGUUAAAAUCAUAAGGAAGGGAGAUAGUAUAUUACUAUCCCAAGAAAAAUACACUGAGAAACUUCUAAAGAAGUUUGGUUACUAUGACUUUAAGUCAGUGAGUACCCCUUAUGAUGCUAACUCUAAAUUAAAGAAGAACAGAGGAGAAUUUAUUUCUCAAACUCAAUAUGCCCAGAUAAUUGGGAGCUUAUUGCAUUUAAUGAGCUUUUCUAGACCAGAUAUUUCUUAUGCAGUAGGUAGAUUGAGUAGAUACACUCAAUGUCCUAGUUAGGAUCAUUGGGAAGCACUUGCGAGACUCAUGAAAUACUUGAGAGGUACAAUGGAUUAUGCCAUUGAAUAUAGUGGAUUUCCCGCUGUGCUAGAAGGGUACAGUGAUGCUAACUGGAUCUCUGAUUCAGAUGAGACAAAAUCCACUAGUGGUUAUGUAUUUACACUUGGGGUGGUGCAGUUACAUGGAGAUCAGCCAGGCAAACUAUUAUUGCAAGAUCAACAAUGGAAUCUGAGUUUGUUGCUCUAGAAAUGGCUGGUACUGAAGCUGAGUGGUUGAAAAACUUCUUAGCAAACAUUCCUUUAGGAAUGAAACCAACCCCAUCUGUAUCAAUGCAUUGUGAUUGCCAAUCGGCAAUAGCUAUAGCUAAAAUUAAAAGCUACAAUGGAAAGAAUAGACAUAUACAAUUGAGACAUAAUUUGGUGAAACAGUUGUUAAAGAGUGGAACGAUUUCUAUUGACUAUGUCAAGUCAGAAUGGAAUCUGGCAGAUCCUCUGACAAAACCCCUAGGGAGAAAAAUGAUUUUAGAAACAUCUAGGGGAAUGGGUCUUAAGCCACUUGCAAACAAACAAGUGAUGGAAACCCAACCUUUGUGAUUGGAGAUCCCAUGAAUAAGGUUCGUAUGGGUAAAAACAAGUCACUUGUUAGUUCUGCUAGCACAGAUAUUGAUUUAAAAUCAAUUUUGUCCAUUCCUAUGGUGUGUGUGAAAGUGCUAGUUACUGCAUUAUCGAGAGGAUAAACUUUGUGGUUAAAAUUCAGAGGUAAAAGAGUUUUAACGAUUUACAAAGUUUUAAUGAUUUUCAUAUCCCUUAUGGGUGGUGUAUGAUUUGCAGCAUAUACUUGAUGAAAUCACCUAUAUAAGUGUCAAGUGGGGCCGCUUGCAUGAGAUCUUGGCAAGAUUUCUAUAGCACUCAUGAAUACCGGGCACGCGCAUGGCCUAGUAGCGCAACACAGCGAUAACAACAAGUAAUGUGGGGGUGUAUUGUGAUUGAUAAACCUCUAACACAGACUAAGUGUCUUGGUUCAUAUAGCUUGCUAUACCAACUACACUAUGUGUUAAGUUCAUCAAUCUAAGACUGGUUCAUAUAGCUUGCUAUACCAGUUCUGAUGCAUUACACCUUAGAUGAACCCAAUUUUUUUUCUUCUUCUUAUCUCUAUGUUUUAUCUUUUGCAAUAUGUGGGGGAUUGUUGUAAAAACAGAGCAUGUAUUGCAAAAUAAAGUGCAGAAACAGAAAUAGAGGAUGCGCAGAAAAACCCUAACUUCUUCAUAGUGCCGUUGGAGGAAAUCUCGGAAGCAUGGGUGAAAUGGAGACAGUUUCCAAGUUGAAAAUCAAACGUUGCCCUUUCAACCUUGGAUCGUGGCCGCACGAAUCGGAAGUUGGGCGCCUCCGCACUGCUGGAUUUUUGAACGUUGUAGAUCGUUACGAGAGGAGUGGGAGGUUGACUCCUUCCUUCACGCUGGUCUUCCCUCUUCUGCGGCGACAACCUUGAACCCA